GCCUUUAAACCCCUAUUUACAGACUAAUUCUCAUCUUUCUCUAGUUUUUAUCUCAAAGAAAUGGUUAUAGAUAGCGGGUUAAGAGGUGUUUCCCGGGAUGUUUCCUCACUGAACCUUAUAAAAUGGCGGGUGAAAUACUUACUACUAUUUUUCCUCACUUUUAUCUAAAAAAAAUGGAUAUUGAAAGCCAGCGAACACAAGAGAGUGCGGUAGAGAAACCUGAAAAGAAAACGGUUUCCUGUAGCUCCGGCGAUUCCUCAGAGAAGGCCUCGAUGGAUAAGCUGGAGCUCAGUAAACUAAUCUUGCAGAUAGGUAUUAUGGCGACCGUUGCUGUCGUUGCCUUGAGAAGCCACGAAUUGGAAGCUGUAGAUCAGCUUUUCGUGUUGGCAAACGUAUUGGGAUGUGUCUGCAUCUUUAGCGGCCUUCAGCUCCGAGAAUGCACACCAAGAUUUGCCAGAACGGCAGAUCUGGUCGGAGUUGGCCUAGUAUUUGCUGCUAUUUUCGUUCUGUUCUCAAAACACUUGCUCUGGUGGCUAAGAAUCGUGCCAGCGGUCUGCUACCCCAUUGUGCUCGUCGUGAUGGUGGCUGCCAAAGGUGAAGGAAGGAGACUCAUUGGAGGAGUUAUUCUAUUGCAUAAUAUGAAAUGGGACAAGUCAAUAUAAUCACCGGUAUCAACCACUACAGAAGAGCUAAUUGCAACAUCAAUAUCUGGGAUCCAAAGUUUGAUGUAACACAGCUGUUUUUUCACAACUCAUUAGAAGAUGGCAGAAGGUGAGGGUAUUCAGCCUCGUGUAUGACAAUGGAAUUGGAAUCAAGGUUGAUUUGAUGGAGGUGAUGCCCCAAGAGCCGUCUUCCCUAGCAUUGUUGGGUGCCUUUGUCACACCAGAGUGAUGGUCGGCAUGGGUAAAAAGGAUGCCUAUAUGUUGGAGAGGAUGAGAACUGUAUGAAUUGUAUUGAAUGAGAUAGUUGAAAAAUACAGAUUACAGAGAUAUAUAUAAUGAGAGAAUCUUAGGGACAAUAUAAUAGGAGAAUCACAGGAAGCCUAGAAUGGAGAGUCAUAAUCUGACUCAAAUACAUAGUGUCCUAAUAGAGAGAGGUAUUUUGACUCUGAACUACCCGGGCCUAUUGAACAUGGAAUUGUGAGCAACUGGGAUGACAUGGAGGAAAUCUGGCAUCAUACCUUUCUACAAUGAACUUCGUGUGGCUCCAGAGAUCACCCAGGCCUUACAGAAGCUCCUCUUGACCCCAAGGCUAAUCAUGAGAAAAUGAUGCAAAUCAUGUUUGAAACAUUCAAUGCCCCUGUGGUGUAUGUUGCUAUUCAGGCCACCCUUUCCCUCUAUGACAGUGGUCGUACAUCUGGUAAGCAUUAUCGUUACAUUUUUCUGCAUUAACUUGUAUGGACUCCAUACAUACUGAAAUGAGGAUUUAGACUAUAAGAAUUAAUAUCACUUUUGGUCCCACGACUUUUGAGUUUUAUCAUUUUUGGUGCGCAACUUUGAAUUUUUUCAAUAUUGGUGCCUAACUUUGUUAUUUUUAUCAGUUUUGGUCCUUACGGCUAAAUUGAUAGCAAAAUGUUGCCGGAUUUUAUAUGUUAAGGGAAAAAUCAUUAUCCAAAAGAAAGAUCUUCAAUAUCUAAACAAAAGAAAAAUCAUAUUAUGAGAAAAAGAAGGGUUUGUCAAUCGUCGAUGUUAUAAAUCUCAUAGAUCUUUGUCUAGUUUUUGUCUGUCUUCCCCAUUAUUUGUGCCGAUCAAACACCUAUAAAUAUGAUUUUACAGUGAUUUUGCUUAGAUAUUGAAGAUGCUUCCUUGAAAUGACGAUGCUACCCUUAAAAAUCUAAAAUCCGGCAACAUUUCGCUAUCAAUUUGGCCGAAAGGACCAAAACUGAUAAAAAUAACAAAGUUAGGCACCAAAACUAAAAAAAUUUAAAGUUGUGUACCAAAAUUGAUAAAACUCAAAAGUCAAGGGGCCAAAAGUGAUAUUUGAUAAGUUGGUUAUCAGACAUCCAUUUUCAAAUUUUCUUGAGAAAAUGGGUUAAAUGUAGGAUAGAGAUAGUGUGGUACGAAUCAAACUUACUAUGAAAUAAAAAGUGAAUCAUGUGGCUGCCACUAAUAUGAUCUUUUGAUGGGCCAUUAUGAUUCAUGGCUCCUUUCAAGUUCUUGCUUCUAGAGCUUCGCUUCUGCAGUAUAUUUUGUAACGAAGGUUAUUCACAGCUUAAAGAACCUUAAAUUGCUUCAGAGCAUAGAGAUCUAUUGUACCUGUUGACACUUUGUUGAUUGGCAUUUUUUAAAGAAUCCAUUUCCAUUAUUCUUGGAGGCGAAAGGUUAUUUCCAAAAAAGCUUUCUGCAAGAACCUAAAGCUGGUGUAAGUUAUCAUUUAAAUGCUUUUUCUUUUGUGCUUAUCAAUGAAUAAUUCUUUGUAGGUUUCUGCUUUAAUGUUUGUAGCUAAUUUUAAUGUUUAUAUCUAAUCAAUUAAGGGUAUAGGUCUGAGGUGAAAAUGUAUCUACCUAUCACUGGACUGGAAACUGGAAAGUUUUAACAGAGUGCAGAGUUAAUAUAUGAUGCUGAUAUGUAUGAAACAUUCUUUUACUUGCCUUUAAAGAUUGUUCAAUCAAAUAGCAGGUCAGGUGCCCUCAUGCCCAAGAGCCACUGGAGGAGGUAAAUUGCGAGUCGCUUUGUCAGUCCUCACCUUUGACCUCUGAUCGAGUGAUCGGUCAAGGUCUCCGAGUGACCCCCCAUGUUCGGAGCAAGGUUUUAGGAUGAUUAAUCGAACCAACUGAGCUCGUCCCGAGGGGCUCUGUACUUGAGUUGUCACAUAUACUUUGUGUAAUGAAUGUGGUGAAUUUACAUUCACACUGAAUGUUUCAAUGCCAUUUAUCAAAUUGCAGCCCUGUUUGAUAUACUUUGUGGUGGUGGCAUCUUCAGCCCUGCUCUAAUGCUAUAUGUUUGCUUUCUACC
RNA transcript from Ipomoea triloba (trilobed morning glory), 2954 nucleotides. RefSeq lists it as uncharacterized. The transcript has 4 exons. Lineage: Eukaryota; Viridiplantae; Streptophyta; Magnoliopsida; Solanales; Convolvulaceae. The record is from RefSeq and is a predicted model, not a curated record.